UAUGAGAAAUGCCUUGGUUCAGUAGAAAGUUUCUGUUUUCUGAGUUUUGAGUGCUGCCACCCCUAUCAAGUGCCAAAAAGCUGAGCAAAAUCUCCUUGGUCAUUGAAUCCACAGGCUCCAGAAUAAGUGAGUUCAAUCAGCUUUUAUUGGCUCUUGGGAAGGUGACACAGCUCUGGCAACAUCAGCAUCCACUCCCUCCCUGCUUAUUUGCUCACUAGGGGGCUGAUUUCCAAUUAUUACACCCCUUCAGAUAGUCCUAUGUUCUCAGAUCCACUAGAUGCCUCCCCUACAGAAAUUGAGGACCUGCCAAGGAUCUCAUUAUCUGCCUCCAUCAACCUAUGGCCCAGAGGAAGCAUUUGUAUAGUCAAGCUGCUGCUAUCCUUUGGGGUUUGCCAAUCCCCUCUGCGGGUGCCACUGAACCUCAUGUUGGUCUUGCAGGGGCUGCAGGGCAAGAACAGAUGGCCCACCAAGGGCACCAGGGGCAUAUGAGUCCAAGCAGAUCUUGUCGUAUUGGAUUUAGACAACGGACCUUGCAGUGUGUUGUGGGUGGAGGCAUAUGCAGAACUGAGUGGAUGGGCAAGUGCUAACUGAAGGCACAGUGAAGCAGUUACUUCAAGGAGCAGUUGUUGGGAGGCAGAAAAACCAGCCUUGCAUUGGAGGACAGAGCUGUGUGCAAAGCAGACAGACGAUCCUGAACCCCUGAAGCUAGCCUGCUGCUUCCAGAUGCAACAAGGACAUUGCCCCAUCAUCAGCACUGAGAAGAUUUCAACUAGCUGGCUUUUUAGCAUGGAGUGGGAGGAAGUACCA
Pogona vitticeps (central bearded dragon) is the source of this 807-nucleotide non-coding RNA. Lineage: Eukaryota; Metazoa; Chordata; Lepidosauria; Squamata; Agamidae. The record is from RefSeq and is a predicted model, not a curated record.